CAGCCGCCGCGGUAAUACCGGCGGCCCGAGUGGCGGUCACUAUUAUUGGGCUUAAAGCGUCCGUAGCCGGGGUGGGAAGUCCUCCGGGAAAUCUGGCCGCUUAACGGUCAGAAUGCCGGAGGAUACUCCCAGCCUAGGGAGCGGGAGAGGCCGAGGGGACUCCCGGGGUAGGGGCGGAAUCCGUUAAUCCCGGGAGGACCACCCGUGGCGAAGGCGCUCGGCUGGAACGCGCCCGACGGUGAGGGGCGAAAGCCGGGGGAGCGAACCGGAUUAGAUACCCGGGUAGUCCCGGCUGUAAACGAUGCGGGCUAGCUGUUGGGUGGGCUUAGAGCCCACCCAGUGGCGCAGGGAAGCCGUUAAGCCCGCCGCCUGGGGAGUACGGCCGCAAGGCUGAAACUUAAAGGAAUUGGCGGG
Molecule: ribosomal RNA, 414 nt
Filed under: uncultured microorganism
Description: bacterial SSU rRNA
Rfam family: Archaeal small subunit ribosomal RNA
Source: RNAcentral